Molecule: ribosomal RNA, 983 nt
Filed under: uncultured bacterium
Lineage: Bacteria
Description: bacterial SSU rRNA
Rfam family: Bacterial small subunit ribosomal RNA
Source: RNAcentral
UCUGGGCUAGUAGAGUGGCGACGGGUGAGUAACACGUGGACAACCUGCCCGGAUGUGGGGGACAACUUUUGGAAACGGAAGCUAAUACCGCAUUCUCUCUCGGACCGCAUGGUCCUUGAGCAAAGGCCGCUUCGGCGGUCGCAUUCGGAGGGGUCCGCGGCUGAUUAGCUAGUUGGUGGGGUAACGGCCUACCAAGGCGACGAUCAGUAGCCGGCCUGAGAGGGCGAUCGGCCACACUGGAACUGAGACACGGUCCAGACUCCUACGGGAGGCAGCAGUGGGGAACAUUGGACAAUGGGGGAAACCCUGAUCCAGCAACGCCGCGUGGAGGAUGAAGGCCCUCGGGUUGUAAACUCCUGUCAGGUGGAACGAAAAGCUCUAUCUAAUAAAUAGAGUGUAUGACGGUACCGCCAGAGGAAGCCCCGGCUAACUCCGUGCCAGCAGCCGCGGUAAUACGGAGGGGGCAAGCGUUAUUCGGAAUUAUUGGGCGUAAAGGGCGCGUAGGCGGUCUUUUAAGUCAGUGGUGAAAUCCCUCGGCUCAACCGAGGAACUGCCUCUGAAACUGAAAGACUUGAGACCGGGAGAGGGUAGUGGAAUUCCCAGUGUAGCGGUGAAAUGCGUAGAUAUUGGGAGGAACACCGGUGGCGAAGGCGGCUACCUGGACCGGUUCUGACGCUGAGGCGCGAAAGUGUGGGGAGCAAACAGGAUUAGAUACCCUGGUAGUCCACACUGUAAACGAUGAGCACUCGGUGCUACGGGUGUCGACCCCUGUAGUGCCUUAGGAAACCCGUUAAGUGCUCCGCCUGGGGAGUACGGUCGCAAGGCUGAAACUCAAAGGAAUUGACGGGGGCCCGCACAAGCGGUGGAGCAUGUGGUUUAAUUCGAUGCAACGCGCAGAACCUUACCUGGGCUUGAACUGUAGAGGACCGUCCGAGAGACGGGACUUCUCCUUCGGGAGCUUCUAUAGAGGUGCUGCAUGGCUG